GUGACCCCAGGAUGGGCGAGGCCACCCGCUGAGU
Molecule: ribosomal RNA, 34 nt
Filed under: Porpax braccata
Lineage: Eukaryota; Viridiplantae; Streptophyta; Magnoliopsida; Asparagales; Orchidaceae
Also listed under: 1 other name
Description: Conchidium braccatum partial 26S ribosomal RNA
Source: RNAcentral